Molecule: ribosomal RNA, 253 nt
Filed under: uncultured bacterium
Lineage: Bacteria
Description: partial 16S ribosomal RNA
Rfam family: Bacterial small subunit ribosomal RNA
Source: RNAcentral
UACAGAGGCCUCGAGCGUUAGGCGGAAUCACUGGGCUUAAAGCGUGUGUAGGUGGAUGCCUAAGUACCUUGUGAAAUCCCAUGGCUUAACCAUGGAAUUGCUCGGGAUACUGGGUGUCUUGAGCCACUCAGGGGCUACCGGAACAAGCGGUGGAGCGGUGAAAUGCGUAGAUAUCGCUUGGAACGCCAAAGGUGAAAACAGGUAGCUGGGGGUGUGCCGACGCUGAGACACGAAAGCCAGGGGAGCGAACGGG